This 484-nucleotide ribosomal RNA is filed under the name uncultured bacterium. RNAcentral's name for it is "bacterial SSU rRNA". It matches the Rfam family "Bacterial small subunit ribosomal RNA", at positions 30 to 507 of the family's 1533-position model. The record is from RNAcentral.
AUUGAACGCUGGCGGCAUGCCUUACACAUGCAAGUCGAACGGCAGCACGGACUUCGGUCUGGUGGCGAGUGGCGAACGGGUGAGUAAUGUAUCGGAACGUACCUUUCAGUGGGGGAUAACGUAGCGAAAGUUACGCUAAUACCGCAUAUUCUGUGAGCAGGAAAGCAGGGGAUCGCAAGACCUUGCGCUGAUUGAGCGGCCGAUAUCAGAUUAGCUAGUUGGUGGGGUAAAGGCCUACCAAGGCGACGAUCUGUAGCGGGUCUGAGAGGAUGAUCCGCCACACUGGAACUGAGACACGGUCCAGACUCCUACGGGAGGCAGCAGUGGGGAAUUUUGGACAAUGGGGGCAACCCUGAUCCAGCCAUGCCGCGUGAGUGAAGAAGGCCUUCGGGUUGUAAAGCUCUUUCGGCCGGGAAGAAAUCGCACAGGCUAAUACCCUGUGUGGAUGACGGUACCGGAAUAAGAAGCACCGGCUAACUACGUG